Non-coding RNA from Biscogniauxia sp. FL1348, 88 nucleotides. Lineage: Eukaryota; Fungi; Ascomycota; Sordariomycetes; Xylariales; Xylariaceae. The record is from the annotation of a GenBank genome assembly.
GGGCUUGUAGCUCAGGGGUAGAGCGCUCGCUUUGCAUACAACUCGCUAUGAUUGCGAGAGGUCUAGGGUUCAAAUCCCUACUGGUCCA